UGGGGAAUAUUGCACAAUGGGCGCAAGCCUGAUGCAGCCAUGCCGCGUGUAUGAAGAAGGCCUUCGGGUUGUAAAGUACUUUCAGUCGGGAGGAAGGUGGUAAGGUUAAUAACCUUAUCAAUUGACGUUACCGACAGAAGAAGCACCGGCUAACUCCGUGCCAGCAGCCGCGGUAAUACGGAGGGUGCAAGCGUUAAUCGGAAUUACUGGGCGUAAAGCGCACGCAGGCGGUUGAUUGAGUCAGAUGUGAAAUCCCCGGGCUUAACCCGGGAAUUGCAUCUGAUAAUGGUCAGCUAGAGUCUUGUAGAGGGGGGUAGAAUUCCAUGUGUAGCGGUGAAAUGCGUAGAGAUGUGGAGGAAUACCGGUGGCGAAGGCGGCCCCCUGGACAAAGACUGACGCUAAGGUGCGAAAGCGUGGGGAGCAAACAGG
RNAcentral lists this ribosomal RNA (429 nucleotides) under Chloroflexota bacterium. Its description in RNAcentral is "Chloroflexi bacterium partial 16S ribosomal RNA". It matches the Rfam family "Bacterial small subunit ribosomal RNA", at positions 355 to 776 of the family's 1533-position model. Lineage: Bacteria; Bacillati; Chloroflexota. The record is from RNAcentral.